CAGUCGCCGCGGGAACACGGAGGGAGCUAGCGUUGUUCGGAAUUACUGGGCGUAAAGCGCGCGUAGGCGGUUACUCAAGUCAGAGGUGAAAGCCCGGGGCUCAACCCCGGAACUGCCUUUGAAACUAGGUGACUAGAAUCUUGGAGAGGUCAGUGGAAUUCCGAGUGUAGAGGUGAAAUUCGUAGAUACUCGGAAGAACACCAGUGGCGAAGGCGACUGACUGGACAAGUAUUGACGCUGAGGUGCGAAAGCGUGGGGAGCAAACAGGAUUAGAUACCCCCGUAGUCCCUGUCUCUUAUAC
This 301-nucleotide ribosomal RNA is filed under the name uncultured bacterium. Its description in RNAcentral is "partial 16S ribosomal RNA". It matches the Rfam family "Bacterial small subunit ribosomal RNA", at positions 509 to 807 of the family's 1533-position model. The record is from RNAcentral.